GGUUGGAUGUGGAAGCAUAGUGAUAUGUGAAGCUGACCAAUACUAAUUGCUCGUGAGGCUUGACUAUACAACACCCAAGCAGUUG
This 85-nucleotide ribosomal RNA is filed under the name Acinetobacter baumannii. RNAcentral describes it as "partial 23S ribosomal RNA". The record is from RNAcentral. Lineage: Bacteria; Pseudomonadati; Pseudomonadota; Gammaproteobacteria; Moraxellales; Moraxellaceae.